Molecule: long non-coding RNA, 2091 nt
Filed under: Mus musculus (house mouse)
Lineage: Eukaryota; Metazoa; Chordata; Mammalia; Rodentia; Muridae
Description: long non-coding RNA chr2:16753747-16755838
Source: RNAcentral
UUCUUGAUUCCUGUUUUCUUUAAAGGAAAGGCAUAGAGGAUUUCCAAAAACUUCAAAAAGGAGUCCAGUGGCAUGGACUUCAUCUUAUUUAUACAUUACAAAGGGUAGACACAAGCACCUUAGUCAACAUUUGUGAGAAUGAAGAUUAGCACUGGCAUUUUUAUGAGAAAAAUGACAAUGGGAUGCAAACAACUUUAGAGGAAAUCAGAGAAAUGGCGUUACAAAGGAACUUACUUAUGUCAUCUUAAUUAUUUGUAAGAGUAGUAAUCAGUGAUCAGAGUUACAAAUCAACCAACAAGAUGUUACAGGCCACUUACUGGCAUGUUUGUGGUGGGACAUUAACAAAUAGAGAAUAGUUAAAGGCAAAGAACAACUGAGAACAAAUAUUAUUGCAGUAAGGCUUUUAGGGUAUUUAGUAGACUCUGAAAUAUAUGAUCUAAAGUGGUGCUGUCUACUAUUAUAUCUACUGGCCAGUUAUGGGUAGUGAUCUUUAAAUUAAAUAAAUUUUCAUUCAGUUGUCUGGUUACAUUUUGAAUGACUCAUAGCCACACAUGGCUCAUGGCUACCAGUGUGGGCUACAGACACUUCUAUCAUUGAAGAAAGUUUUACUGUAACAUGCCAUAAUGUUUCAACUGAACUAUUUGCUUUUGAAGGAAAUAGUGGAGGGAAGGGAGGAAGAAAGGAAGCAAGCAAGCAAGCAAGCAAGCAAGCAAGGGUAUUUGAGAGCUCUUAGGUAUAUUCAAACAAUUAUUUUCUUGUAAUAUAAGAGAUGCCUCAUAAAGAAAUGAGAAUACCAGUUGACAUGGCUUUGCAUCUUCAUGGUAUUUCCUUCAACUUCUCAAUUUUCACACUGGAAAAAAAUUAAAUAUAUUUUCCUGUCUUUUUUGCAAGAUUACUUUACAGACGGAUUAAUACAGAUGUAAAGACUUGAAAGCUUACAGAGAAGUGAUCUAUAAAGCACACCUGUAAGGCAAGCACCAAAUUGCACACAAGGGAACAAUAGUCCAUCAAUCCAAAAGGCAACUCAAGACAAUGAAGGCAAUAUAUUCUUGAGAAAGUGUCAAAGUGAAUAGAAAAACUGCUUGAGUUUCUUUUUGUCCAUGUUUUUUUUUUCCUGCCUUGUUCUCUUAUUUGCCAAAUCACCUGUGUAUCCCCAUUUGCCUGGACUCUCUCUUAUUUGGAGUCACUUUGUGCCUCUUUGUUUGUUCUGCUCAGGAAUCCCGGCAUCUUAGCAGAGGCUCUUUUGAAAGCAAAAUAGAUGAUCCUGUAAACAUUAGUUAUCUCUUAUGUAUUUUAUUUCUAUUAAAAAGCAAGGAACUGUGACAUAAUUCCAUAUAAAUAUGGAGGAAACUUGCUUUUGAUGUAAAUUCUACAAAUGCCAGACUUUAUAAACAAAAUAAAACUACCUUAAAGUAUGCUUAUGUCCAGAUAAUACAUAGUGUGGGAAGGCAUCUCAUACAACCUGUUCCUUUUACUGACGUGAAAACAAAGGCUUAUAUAGGUACAAUAAUUAUCGUUGGUGUCAAAAGUGGGUUUGGAAGUUAAACCUCUCAAUUGUUUUUUUUUUUUUUUCUCCUUUUGAUUGCUGUGGCUUACAUUCCUCUGUAAGUAAUUAAGACAACUAAGCAUCUGGAAGUCAUAAUCCAUGAAAAAUUAAUUUCACCUGCUAUAAGGAUGCUGUCUACACACUGUGUCCUAUAGUAUGAAGCAUUGAAGCAAUAGUCUUCUAUGCUAUUACUGUCCUAAGAAUCCUGUUGUUCUAUUUCCAGUUCCAUCCCUGAUAGGGUCCUUAUGUGUCCCCUCUCUCACCUCCUCAGCUGUGGUCAUCAGUUAGCAGUGCUAUUUAUGUUUGUCAUUUGAAUGUUUUUUCUGCCUUUGUUUCAUUUCUACUCAAUGGUAUUUGAAAACUAAUACUGUUUAUUGAAGAAUUUCUGCUACCUAGAUAAUCACCGUUUUUACUUGUUCGUGGAAACUAUUCGGGAACUUGUUUUCCAAGAAGGUCUUAUGGGAAAAGAUUGUGAGAUCAGGGCUGUUACCUAUGAUAUACUCAUACUGUUGUGUUUUUAUAAAGCACUUUACAUUUUACAUAGU